UGAGGAAUAUUGGUCAAUGGACUCAAGUCUGAACCAGCCAAGUAGCGUGUAGGAUGACGGCCCUACGGGUUGUAAACUGCUUCUAUAUGGGGAUAAAGUGGGGAACGUGUUCCCUUUUGCAGGUACCAUAUGAAUAAGGACCGGCUAAUUCCGUGCCAGCAGCCGCGGUAAUACGGAAGGUUCGGGCGUUAUCCGGAUUUAUUGGGUUUAAAGGGAGCGUAGGCCGUUUGGUAAGCGUGUUGUGAAAUGUAGGAGCUCAACUUCUAGAUUGCAGCGCGAACUGUCAGACUUGAGUGCGCACAACGUAGGCGGAAUUCAUGGUGUAGCGGUGAAAUGCUUAGAUAUCAUGAAGAACUCCGAUUGCGAAGGCAGCUUACGGGAGCGCAACUGACGCUAAAGCUCGAAGAUGCGGGUAUCGAACAGG
This 424-nucleotide ribosomal RNA is filed under the name Verrucomicrobiota bacterium. Its description in RNAcentral is "Verrucomicrobia bacterium partial 16S ribosomal RNA". It matches the Rfam family "Bacterial small subunit ribosomal RNA", at positions 355 to 776 of the family's 1533-position model. Lineage: Bacteria; Pseudomonadati; Verrucomicrobiota. The record is from RNAcentral.